Molecule: ribosomal RNA, 253 nt
Filed under: uncultured bacterium
Lineage: Bacteria
Description: partial 16S ribosomal RNA
Rfam family: Bacterial small subunit ribosomal RNA
Source: RNAcentral
UACAGAGGUCCCAAGCGUUGUUCGGAUUCACUGGGCGUAAAGGGUGCGCAGGUGGUCGGGUAAGUCUGAUGUGAAAGCCCGCAGCUUAACUGCGGAAUGGCAUUGGAUACUAUUCGGCUAGAGGGUUGGAGGGGGGACUGGAAUUCUCGGUGUAGCAGUGAAAUGCGUAGAUAUCGAGAGGAACACCAGUGGCGAAGGCGAGUCCCUGGACAACUCCUGACGCUAAGGCACGAAAGCUAGGGGAGCAAACAGG